Molecule: ribosomal RNA, 500 nt
Filed under: uncultured bacterium
Lineage: Bacteria
Description: partial 16S ribosomal RNA
Rfam family: Bacterial small subunit ribosomal RNA
Source: RNAcentral
AUUGAACGCUGGCGGAAUGCUUUACACAUGCAAGUCGAACGGCAGCACGGACUUCGGUCUGGUGGCGAGUGGCGAACGGGUGAGUAAUGUAUCGGAACGUGCCCAGUCGUGGGGGAUAACGUAGUGAAAAUUACGCUAAUACCGCAUACGAUCUAUGGAUGAAAGCGGGGGAUCGCAAGACCUCGCGCGAUUGGAGCGGCCGAUAUCAGAUUAGGUAGUUGGUGGGGUAAAGGCCCACCAAGCCAACGAUCUGUAGCUGGUCUGAGAGGACGACCAGCCAAACUGGAACUGAGACACGGUCCAGACUCCUACGGGAGGCAGCAGUGGGGAAUUCUGGACAAUGGGCGAAAGCCUGAUCCAGCCAUUCCGCGUGCAGGAUGGAGGCCCUCGGGUUGUAAACUGCUUUUGUACAGAACGAAAAGGUUUCUACUAAUACUAGGAGCUCAUGACGGUACUGUAAGAAUAAGCACCGGCUAACUACGUGCCAGCCGCCGCAGUAA